This 5586-nucleotide long non-coding RNA is filed under the name Marmota monax (woodchuck). Lineage: Eukaryota; Metazoa; Chordata; Mammalia; Rodentia; Sciuridae. The record is from RNAcentral.
AACUCUGAAACUACCUGAACUCGGGGUUCAGGGGAUUGAUUGAUUACAGCAAAAGCUGUGCCCUCUGAACCUGGCUGCAGCCAAAUAAAACUGUUGCCAGCUAUGUUUGGUGCCUUGCCUCGUUUUUCCCUACAACAUUUUGGUGACCCAGAUGGGGCCAAGGAGGUAGGGAAGGCUAUUCUGCCUCUCUUGUCUCCGGGGACUGGCUUCCCUGGGGCGAUGGGGGACAGUGGUCCCCUUGACCUGCCCAGGCCAUUCUUGGCCUGAAGGAGGACACACCCAGGGCCCUGGGGCUGCCACCCUGGAGCACAAUGGAACCCACAGGCAGCAGGAAGCAGAAUUAGGGUUUUGGAGCACCACCCAUCUGAACAGGUAGGACCCGGGUCCAUUUGGUUUUGCAGCCUGUAAGACUGGAAAACGCCGCACCACACGACAGAUUACCAAAGAGGUCUCUCUUUAUUAAAAAUGGCUGUGUGUUUAUAUAGGUCUAAGAGAGGUGGCAGGGGCUGAGGUAGAUAACAGGUCGCCCGUUUAUUGGCAAGCUCUUCCAUAUGUCAGUUCCGGGGCCCAAGAAGUUAAUUCUAAUUGGGGCUAAGGCUUCCUACCGGCAGGGUUUGAACAUUGGUGCCGGCGGGAACGUUUCGCGCCAGUGAAAGAAACAAAGAAGAGAAGGAGAGUCGUUAGACGCCAUGUUGGGGUUUUUUUCUGGGGUGCGGCUGCCGCCGUUAUGUUUUCCCAACACAACCCACCUGACUUCCCCUUGGAGGCCUAAGCAGGUGGAAGAGAGGCUUGAUCAACCUCUGUUGGGUCCCAAGUACCCUCCAAAGUGGUUGGAGCUGAAACGGACCUGGGGAGUUGCCCGAGUAGUCUCUGUUUGGGGUCAGUGAGCAGAGGGGAAACUGUGACUCCCUUUUUGUUUGGCUUGGAAUUGUUGGAAUUUGGGCAGUAUAGAAAUUUUUUUCUGGCCAUGUCUGUAUGAAAGUGUGAGAAAGUGUGUGAGUGAGAUGGACAAAGGGAAGGGUUCCUACCCAACCCGAGGGCCAAAGUGAGUGCAGAGUCCUGAUCUGCGGUUCUGUGGCACCUCAUACAGUCUGUGGUGGAAUUUUACCAACCAACGUCUAGGUUAAAGCUCCAGGUUGGGGGUUGAUGCCAACCCGAAUGUCUAAGAGGGCCCUAAGUCCCUGCGAGGGGAGCGGCCGGAGAUGGACCAAGAGAGUCUUGCCCUAAGUGUGUUUUGUUCUAAGUGUGUGACACCGAUGCAGGGUGGAAUAUGGGAGGCAUACUAAGGAAACUGGGCCUUCUGAAAUGUGUGUUAGAAACCUUUAAGUAUGUUUUCCUGGUAAAUGUGGGGUGAAGCUCACUUCACAAAGGUGGCAUACUCUCUGAAUUAGAAUGGCUCACCCAGGAUGUGGGCUGGCCACCAGAAGGAUCUUUAGAUGAGAGAGUCAUUGCUGAGGUCCUUUUGAUUGUUGUUGGAACUCCUGAACCAAUUCUCUUAUAUUGAUUGCUGGCAAGAGAUAGUACAGAAACAGUGCCCUUGGUUGAGAGCCUAUCUGGAUGGACAGUCCAAGUUGAUGUUAGCCAGGAGCAUAGUGGUCUCUAAGACCCAGUGGAAACCAGCUAACCAGAAAACCUGACUAGGAAAGACAGGAAGGGAAACAGUUUUCCCCAUGAGCCAGAAGAGGACCCACCACCUUAUGUGCCACUCUACCCAACUUUGCCAAGACCACUGGUACAACAGACUGUCCCCUCAGCCCCCUUGUCCUCAAAGGCAACAAAUGAUGGCCCCCAAUACUGGAUAUUCCUUCCUCUGUGGUGUUCUCUGAGCCAAUGGCUUCCUAGAACCAAAGACUCUUUCACCUCCCAAGAUUAAGGUGGGAUAUUUGUCCCAAGACCAGAGCCACAACCCAGAUGAGAACUUUCCAGAUGCCCCUGCAAGGGACUAAAGGACCUGCCCAUAAUGAUCAGAGGGAAACACCUGAGGGAGACAAGGCAGUUUUGUGUGCCAGCCUUUCACCACCACUGCACUCAUAAGCUGGAAAAAUCAUACUCCCUCCUACAUGGAGAAACCCUGGACCAUGACUGAUCUGAUGCAGGCCAUUAUCCAGACCUAGGAUGGGGCCCCAACAAAGAAGAAGAUCUAAAGAUAAAGAGAUGUCAGGAAGCCCUCAUAGAAAGUCCAAAAGGAAAGAAAAAAGAGAACAAAACACACCGUCUGUGCCCAAGAGUUAGAAGGAAUUGGAGCCAGCCCUGAGCCCUAACCUAAGGCUGAGAUAAGCCUCCCAUUGCUCCAGUAUCUCCCUCUCACACCCUCGAUAGCCCUGAACAUUUCUCUUGGCCCCACAUCUGCCUAAGGCCCCUCUGCCCUAUGAAACUGGCAGCAAUAAUCAAAAGAGAUGUGUCCAACUGACUUAGAGCUACAUGUCCAGGCCAUCGCCGCUGCCGCUCCUCUCCCUGCCCAGAGGUGCCCGGGGGAGGAGGGGCACCAUACAAACAUUGCUGCUACAGUGCAAGUUUGUCAGUGAAGAAAUGCACAGGUGCAAGCAAUAGGUGAUCAAUGCAGCCUUUGAGGUACAGGCUCGGAGAGCCAUUUGCCAAAAAUUACAAUUCUAGAGGGCUUUACUGAGAAGUGUGCCAGUGACCUGAUUAAGGUGGCCACCACAGUUUCUGUCAAUCGAGAUCCAGAGGCUCAAAGACAGGCAGACCAAAAAAGAUAAAAAAGGAGGAUGGAUCUCCUUACAGCUGCCCUCACCACAAAUCCAGAGUUCACUCAAAGGAGGGCUCACUAGAACAAAGCCAAAGGUUCAAAUAUUUAUAAGAAAAAAAAAAAAAGCAUGACCAGCCUUCAAUGGCCCCAGCAGACAAGUACCCACUGCCAUGCUCAAAAGCUAAGACUUGAACAGAAAAGGAGCGGAUGUUUUCCCUCUAGCUUUUGGCCCCAGCCCCACCUUUCAGUUGAUUUCCACUUGCUCAGAAGUUGAUGAUUGACGAAUAUGGCAGGGGUCCCAUAGACACACACAACUGCAUCUGAUACAUGGGACCCAGCACCUCAGGAGGGAUCAGCUGCUGCCAGCCCCCAAAUGAACAAGGAAUAUGUUCAUGUUAACAGCCAAUAGUGGGCCAUAUGGUGCUCACUCCAAAAGGACAUGCCAUCCUGGCUCCAAGCCACAUGCUGUGAGCCACCAGCAGGAAGGGCCACAGAGCCCCAUGUAUCCAGGCUUACUGAACAAAAACACAAGCGGGGUCGCUACUAUAUACAAUUAGAGCAGGCUCCCACCUGACAAGAGGAGAAAGCCACACAGACAAAGAGCAACACCUAAGUGAGCACAAUGUGGCUGCCACUCUGGGACCUGCACAGGACCACACCACUGCCCUCCAAUCUUGGCACAUGGCCCAUGGCAAGAUUUACAUAGGUGCCUUUUACGCAAAUGAUGUCCCAGGUCAUCAAUCUCUGCUAAGAUUUACAUUAGAUUUAAGAGUUGGAGAAUCCCAGCAGCCGAGAUCCUGCACUGGGAGAUAAAAAAAAAUUCCUGCAUCUUAAAGCGCCAGACGCUCUAUGUAUGCUUCCCUUCCCUAAAUGACAGUUCCUCCCAGGGGCUUAAGUACACCAUCCUUGGGACAGCACUGGACUCUGAAUUAAAAGCCCAUAUCUAUCCAGAAAAUGGUCAAAUACUUUGGUUACCAUCUGACUCAGCAACAGAUCACAACAACCACUGGGCCUCAAAAGAAACAGGAGAUCUGCUCAAUUCCAGUUUGGGGCUACUGGGUUCAGCCAUAUAUGGAUCCCUAAAUUUUCAGUUAUGAAAAAACCCCUCUAUGAAGCCACAAAGGAAGGAAAAUGGGAUCCUCUAAUAUGGGGGUCAACUAAGCAAAAGGCCUUUGAGGACAUUAAACGAGCACUCCCAGUACAUUUGGACUAGGGCUCCCUGAUUUCACAGAAGCUUUUCUUUCUGUAUGUCCAUGAACAGUCUGGAGUGGCUGUAGGAGUUUUGACUCAAGUCCUGGGUACAUGGACAUCUAUUCAAAUAGCUGGACUUUCUAGCCCAAGACUGGCCACCUUGUUUCUGGGCCCUUGCAGUCAUAGAUCUUCUGGUGUUGAAAGCUGACAAACUGGCUAUGGGAUAAAAAUUGGUUUUCAGGGUUCCUCAUUCAAUUUUGACAUAAGAGUACAAAGGACAAUAUUGGUUGACUAAUGACAGUUUGGUCAAUACCAGGACAUGUUAUGUGAAAACACACGUUUCCAUGUUGAAGUCAUCUGGACUCUAAACCCAGCAACCUUGCUGCCCAUUGGACCUGGACAACCUGAUCACAACUGUAUUGAAGUCAUGGAUGAAAUGUUCUCCAGCAGACCACACCUGGCAGACCAGCCUCAGGGACACUGAAGUGGAGUACUUCACAGAAGGGAAGCAGUUUUAUAAAAGAUGGGGUAUGUUUUGCUGGAUAUGCAGUAGUCACUCUGGACUCCACUGCUGGCAGAACCUCUGCCUCAGGGAACUUCAGCACAAAAAGUAAAAUUUAUUGCUUUGACUUGAGCACCUCAGUUGACAGCAGGAGUUUGUGUGGAUAUUUACAUAGACUCAAAAUAUGCAUUCACUACCCUUCAUGUUCAUAGGGCCUUAUGUACUGAAAAGGGGCUAAUUAACUCAGGAGAAAAACAAGGGGCAUGAUGGAUGGGCAAGAAAUUCUUAAACUUUUGGAUGCACGGUGGGCUCCCAGGAAGGUUGUGAUUAUAUAUUGCCAAGGUCAUUGAAAGGGAAACACAGUGGUUUCUUGCCGCAGUCUGGCUGGGCACAAAAUCACGAGCCACUCAAGCAGGAACAAACUUUAUUUUUUGAAACUGCUGCCAAUAUCCAGUACGCGCCCAUGCCCGGGAAGAUUUUUCGAUCCACCCACGUGGCCUCCUCCCGGACCCGCCAGAGAGAGCUCCUCCCCCGGAACUCCCUCCUACUGUACUUCCCCAACCAAUGGGAACUCUCCAGGAGUCCCAUAGCAGGCCUAGGUGAACAGCAGGAGUCCAAUAUCCAUAUGAAUGCAAAUCUUAACAUAAUCACAUCAUCUCAAUGGCUAGCUGGCGUCACCUUUCAACCAAAAAUGCCAUGCAUCAUAUACUUGGCUCUUAGCAUCUCCCCCCUUCUGUUUAAGUAACAAGCAAUCUGGCUAGGGACCGUGCCUGUUAGGUUUGUCCAAUUCAACAUAUGGUUCUUACCCGUCAUCGGAAAACUGACUUUUAGGCGUCAGCCUCCUGUCUUAGGUUGAUACCACUGUAAUUGGAUCAUACCCAUCACUGACUACCAGUCCAGCAUAUAGCCAUACUGUGGAUAGGCCUAUGCACCAUUGGGGGGGUGAGGUUCUUUGCCUCACCUCUGUUGGCCCCCAAAAUUAGACCAUCACUAGUAGAAGGGAGGAGGAUACAGAAAUGUCACGACACCAAGUCAAUUGAUGGCUCCUAGGAAAAAUUGCAUCACUGGUGACACAUCAGCAAAGAUACGCUAGCACUACCAUAAUUCGCUGCAUCAACAGAUAGAUCACAAAGCAUACAAGUGAUACAUAGUCCAGGCAAGUUCUGUAAGCAGUUCAAAGCAGAGG